UAGAGCAGGGGUCGGCAACCGGCGGCCCGCGGGCCGCAUGCGGCCCGUGGACUAACUCAGUGCGGCCCGCAAGCCUGAGGUCCGUAAGAAAAAAAUACCAAAGCAAAAGGCCAUAUUAUACUAAGCCAUAUAGUUAAGAUUCUUGAAAGCUCGCUCCCACCUGAGGGUAAUAAAAAAUAUAAAAAUGUACCUAACUACUUAUUUCAUAUAUUUGCUGUACUUAUUCAAUUCUUGGAAAAUUAUUUUGCGUUUAUCCGCCGCACGUGGCCGUCGGUGCAGGCAGGCGGCUUCUUUGAGACAAUAGGCGGCGGCAGUCUUUGAUUAGACGCAGGUGUGCGGCGGCGAAAAAUUCAAAGCGACCGGCUUUAGUUGAAAUAACAGCCGCGCGUGCAGCUCUCGCCUCAUUCGGUUGUGGAAAUUUGCCGGAAACUCACGUCUCAUCUGGUUGCUAGCUUCUCGUUUCACCAUUCUUCAGCAUCUCACGCACGACGUAUGAGGAUAAUUAUACAAACAUGGCUUCAAGGAAAAGGAAGAUAGAAGA
This is a long non-coding RNA of Plutella xylostella (diamondback moth), 541 nucleotides long. RefSeq lists it as uncharacterized. The record is from RefSeq and is a predicted model, not a curated record. NCBI's taxonomy places the organism in Eukaryota, Metazoa, Arthropoda, Insecta, Lepidoptera, Plutellidae.